This 17-nucleotide small RNA is filed under the name Arabidopsis thaliana (thale cress). Its description in RNAcentral is "ATSL243290". The record is from RNAcentral. Lineage: Eukaryota; Viridiplantae; Streptophyta; Magnoliopsida; Brassicales; Brassicaceae.
AUAAAGCAGAGUCUGAA